Non-coding RNA from Pelobates cultripes (western spadefoot toad), 108 nucleotides. Lineage: Eukaryota; Metazoa; Chordata; Amphibia; Anura; Pelobatidae. The record is from the annotation of a GenBank genome assembly.
GUAUGUGUUUGUGUGUGUGUGUAUGUAUCUAUAUAUAUAUACAUAUAUAUAUAUAUAUAUAUACAUAUAUAUAUAUAUAGAUACAUACACACACACACACACACGGCG